RNAcentral lists this ribosomal RNA (890 nucleotides) under Bacillus amyloliquefaciens. RNAcentral's name for it is "bacterial SSU rRNA". The record is from RNAcentral. Lineage: Bacteria; Bacillati; Bacillota; Bacilli; Caryophanales; Bacillaceae.
AGRAGUUUKRWWUCAUGGCUCAGGACGAACGCUGGCGGCGUGCCUAAUACAUGCAAGUCGAGCGGACAGAUGGGAGCUUGCUCCCUGAUGUUAGCGGCGGACGGGUGAGUAACACGUGGGUAACCUGCCUGUAAGACUGGGAUAACUCCGGGAAACCGGGGCUAAUACCGGAUGGUUGUUUGAACCGCAUGGUUCAGACAUAAAAGGUGGCUUCGGCUACCACUUACAGAUGGACCCGCGGCGCAUUAGCUAGUUGGUGAGGUAACGGCUCACCAAGGCRACGAUGCGUAGCCGACCUGAGAGGGUGAUCGGCCACACUGGGACUGAGACACGGCCCAGACUCCUACGGGAGGCAGCAGUAGGGAAUCUUCCGCAAUGGACGAAAGUCUGACGGAGCAACGCCGCGUGAGUGAUGAAGGUUUUCGGAUCGUAAAGCUCUGUUGUUAGGGAAGAACAAGUGCCGUUCAAAUAGGGCGGCACCUUGACGGUACCUAACCAGAAAGCCACGGCUAACUACGUGCCAGCAGCCGCGGUAAUACGUAGGUGGCAAGCGUUGUCCGGAAUUAUUGGGCGUAAAGGGCUCGCAGGCGGUUUCUUAAGUCUGAUGUGAAAGCCCCCGGCUCAACCGGGGAGGGUCAUUGGAAACUGGGGAACUUGAGUGCAGAAGAGGAGAGUGGAAUUCCACGUGUAGCGGUGAAAUGCGUAGAGAUGUGGAGGAACACCAGUGGCGAAGGCGACUCUCUGGUCUGUAACUGACGCUGAGGAGCGAAAGCGUGGGGAGCGAACAGGAUUAGAUACCCUGGUAGUCCACGCCGUAAACGAWRARWGSKAAGUGUUAGGGGGUUUCCGCCCCUUAGUGCUGCAGCUAACGCAUUAAAGCAMYUCCCCGU